RNAcentral lists this unclassified non-coding RNA (412 nucleotides) under fungal sp. RNAcentral's name for it is "partial internal transcribed spacer region". The stretch from base 1 to 46 matches the Rfam family "Eukaryotic small subunit ribosomal RNA", at positions 1786 to 1831 of the family's 1831-position model. The record is from RNAcentral. Lineage: Eukaryota; Fungi.
AAGUCGUAACAAGGUUUCCGUAGGUGAACCUGCGGAAGGAUCAUUAACACGUAUCCACGUAUCCACCCCUCGUGAACUGUUUUCACCUCUCCCUAGAGAGAUUCGACAUGAGUUGGAAGGGAAUCCGAGCGUUUGAAUGAGAAAAGUUUUACCGCUUUUCGGCUCGGUUUCCCCCAUCUGCUGGCUUGUCCAGCGUACAACUGGAGUCGACUCCCUAGGCACUAUUCUUCUUAUACGAGACUCUCUCCAUUCAAGAGCGCUCGUAUAGGAUGCAUAACCACCUUUUUCACCCCCUUUUUGCUAGUUGACUUUUUAUCUGUUGUUACGCUGUGGAUUCACUUCUACUCGUCUCACACGUUUAAUUACUUGAACGUUAAAAAAACAACUCUUAGCAAUGGAUAUCUAGGUUCUC